RNAcentral lists this microRNA (24 nucleotides) under Petromyzon marinus (sea lamprey). RNAcentral describes it as "pma-miR-375a-5p". Its record names the gene pma-miR-375a-5p. Lineage: Eukaryota; Metazoa; Chordata; Hyperoartia; Petromyzontiformes; Petromyzontidae. The record is from miRBase by way of RNAcentral.
ACGCCGAGCCCGACGCGCAAUGCU